CGCAGCCGCGGUAAUUCCAGCUCCAAUAGCGUAUAUUAAAGUUGCUGCAGUUAAAAGCUCGUAGUUGAAUUUCGGGAUCAAUAUGUCGGUCGUGCCUCGGUACGCACUGGCUUAUUGGUUUCUCCCUUCUGACGAACCAUGAUGUCAUUAAUUUGGUGUCUUGGGAAAUCAGGACUGUUACUUUGAAAAAAUUAGAGUGUUUAAAGCAGGCUCACGCUUGAAUACAUUAGCAUGGAAUAAUGAAAUAGGACGUUUGAUUCUAUUUUGUUGGUUUCUAGGAUCGACGUAAUGAUUAAUAGGGAUAGUUGGGGGCAUUAGUAUUCAAUUGUCAGAGGUGAAAUUCUUGGAUUUAUUGAAGACUAACUACUGCGAAAGCAUUUGCCAAGGAUGUUUUCAUUAAUCAAAGAACGAAA
Molecule: ribosomal RNA, 413 nt
Filed under: uncultured Glomeromycotina
Lineage: Eukaryota; Fungi; Glomeromycota
Description: SSU rRNA
Rfam family: Eukaryotic small subunit ribosomal RNA
Source: RNAcentral